Molecule: long non-coding RNA, 328 nt
Filed under: Capra hircus (goat)
Lineage: Eukaryota; Metazoa; Chordata; Mammalia; Artiodactyla; Bovidae
Description: lncRNA (ENSCHIG00000007848.1)
Source: RNAcentral
GUGAUUGUUCCUUCCACUUCAGGGGCCUUGGGAGGAUGACCUAAGGCUGCUUUCUCCUGUCCUUACUUCCUCUACCCAGUGCUGUAACUACACAUGCAAUCAGCUGGUUCUUAUAAAGGAUGCUGACCAAUGCUGUGAUGUUGUCUUCAGGAAGCAGGGGGAUCUCCAAACAAGCUGCUGCUGCUUCUGAAUUAUGAGGCUUGCCAUGCUUCACUUCUUCAGUGGAUAGCUUUAUUUCUGCAAAGUGCAUAGAAUGAAGUUGUAGACUGCAGGCACUGAAAGACCUAAAUGAAUGUGUAAGAAUGACCACAAGGCACCAGGCGUGGGU